GCAGACAUCUCAGUGUUCAUAUCAAAUUUCUUGCUGUAAUUGACUAGAUUACGUAAAAUUGAAAAUUUUAAAUCAUACUAGACACAAUAAAGAUUAAAAACCCUAAUUAUUGAACUCAUUAUAUUCAAAAUAUGCCGUGAAAUAAAUCAAAUGGCGGAAAAAAAAAAAACCCAAAGUUCUUACCUGAUUUUGUGAACCGAAGCCUUCAAUCUCCAAAAAACUCUGUUUUUCUCAACGAUUAUCACAAAUUAGUAACAAAAGGUUUUGAUUCACAGCUUUAAGAUCAAAAUGCC
This 293-nucleotide long non-coding RNA is filed under the name Amborella trichopoda. Its description in RNAcentral is "long non-coding RNA (ATRI_LNC003814)". The record is from RNAcentral. Lineage: Eukaryota; Viridiplantae; Streptophyta; Magnoliopsida; Amborellales; Amborellaceae.